Homo sapiens (human) is the source of this 763-nucleotide long non-coding RNA. Ensembl annotates it as dynamin 1 pseudogene 35. Its record names the gene DNM1P35. Lineage: Eukaryota; Metazoa; Chordata; Mammalia; Primates; Hominidae. The record is from Ensembl.
GCUCCUCUUUCUGUUCCUGGCUCCCUUUCGCCCGCAGGUCGCCCAAGUCCAGCCCCACGACGCAGUGCCGACUCCCCGCCGUGCCCCCAGCCCGGCCCGGGUUGCGGAGCCCUGCUCCUGGGCCUCUGCCUGCUGCGUCCACCCUGGGGGAAGCGCCCGUCGUACCCUCCACACCGGGGGCUUCCCCUGACCCCUUAGGCCCUCCCCCUGCAGGUGCCCUCGCGCCCCUCCCGGGGUCCCCAGGUAGCCGAAGCAGGGAGAGAGAAGGCAGCAUACGUCAGCGUUUUCUUCUAUGCACUUAUAAGAAAGAUCAAAGACUUUAAGACUUUCACUAUUCCUUCUACCACUGUCUACUACAAACUUCAAAGAGGAACCAGGAGUACAGGAGGAACAUGAAAGUGGACAAGGAGCGUGACCAUUGAAGCACAGCACCACAGGGAGGGGUUUAGGCCUCCGGAUGACUGCGGGCAGGCCUGGAUACUAUCCAGCCUCCCACAAGAAGCUGGUGGAGCAGAGUGUUCCCUGACUCCUCCAAGGAAAGGGAGACUCCCUUUCGCGGUCUGCUAAGUAACGGGUGCCUUCCCAGACACUGGCGUUACCACUUGACCAAGGAGCCCUCAAGCGGACCUUAUGCGGGCAUGACAGGGCUCACCUCUUGCCUUCUACAUCACUUCUCACAAUGUCCCUUCAGCACCUGACCCUAUACCCGCAGGUUAUUCCUAGGUUAUAUUAGUAAUUAAAAGCUAAUGAUUAAUAAUGUUUA